RNAcentral lists this ribosomal RNA (523 nucleotides) under uncultured bacterium. RNAcentral describes it as "partial 16S ribosomal RNA". It matches the Rfam family "Bacterial small subunit ribosomal RNA", at positions 28 to 523 of the family's 1533-position model. The record is from RNAcentral.
GACGAACGCUGGCGGCGUGCCUAAUACAUGCAAGUCGAACGCUUUUUCUUUCACCGGAGCUUGCUCCACCGAAAGAAAAAGAGUGGCGAACGGGUGAGUAACACGUGGGUAACCUGCCCAUCAGAAGGGGAUAACACUUGGAAACAGGUGCUAAUACCGUAUAACACUAUUUUCCGCAUGGAAGAAAGUUGAAAGGCGCUUUUGCGUCACUGAUGGAUGGACCCGCGGUGCAUUAGCUAGUUGGUGAGGUAACGGCUCACCAAGGCAACGAUGCGUAGCCGACCUGAGAGGGUGAUCGGCCACACGGGGACUGAGACACGGCCCAGACUCCGACGGGAGGCAGCAGUAGGGAAUCUUCGGCAAUGGACGAAAGUCUGACCGAGCAACGCCGCGUGAGUGAAGAAGGUUUUCGGAUCGUAAAACUCUGUUGUUAGAGAAGAACAAGGAUGAGAGUAGAACGUUCAUCCCUUGACGGUAUCUAACCAGAAAGCCACGGCUAACUACGUGCCAGCCGCCGCCGUAA